GAUGAACGCUGGCGGCGUGCUUAACACAUGCAAGUCGAACGAUGAAGCCCAGCUUGCUGGGUGGAUUAGUGGCGAACGGGUGAGUAACACGUGAGUAACCUGCCCUUGACUCUGGGAUAAGCCUGGGAAACUGGGGCUAAUACUGGAUAUGACUUCUCAUCGCAUGGUGGGGGGUGGAAAGAUUUAUUGGUCUUGGAUGGACUCGCGGCCUAUCAGCUUGUUGGUGAGGUAAUGGCUCACCAAGGCGACGACGGGUAGCCGGCCUGAGAGGGUGACCGGCCACACUGGGACUGAGACACGGCCCAGACUCCUACGGGAGGCAGCAGUGGGGAAUAUUGCACAAUGGGCGCAAGCCUGAUGCAGCGACGCCGCGUGAGGGAUGACGGCCUUCGGGUUGUAAACCUCUUUCAGUAGGGAAGAAGCGAGAGUGACGGUACCUGCAGAAGAAGCGCCGGCUAACUACGUG
Molecule: ribosomal RNA, 466 nt
Filed under: uncultured bacterium
Lineage: Bacteria
Description: partial 16S ribosomal RNA
Rfam family: Bacterial small subunit ribosomal RNA
Source: RNAcentral